Molecule: long non-coding RNA, 5071 nt
Organism: Puntigrus tetrazona (Sumatra barb)
Lineage: Eukaryota; Metazoa; Chordata; Actinopteri; Cypriniformes; Cyprinidae
Exons: 3
Source: RefSeq, a predicted model, not a curated record
GUGUGUGAGAGAGAGAGAGUAAGAGUCCUAUCAUGCCUGUGUGCUGAAGGUAAGGGUUAUUCCAGUCAAGCACUGAAGUCACUGAGGGGCUUGUACAUGUCGGUUCUUGUCAGACGCAGCAGCUUUUUCUAUCUCUCUUUCUCCCUUUCUUCCCCUAUUCUUCCUGCCGGCCCGCUUUUCUUUUCUUUCUGUCUUUGUCUCUUUCCAUCUUUCCUCUCCCUUUGAGUCCUGCUCCAGUAGACCUGCAGGUUUUAAUGGCUCUGUGAAACAGUAUAAAAGCAGCGGGUGCAUUGAGUCAUUUUAGCCUGAGGACUCAGACUGACUCUGUUUGUCUUUCUGUUGCAGCUGUCACUCUGCAGCCCUCCACAUUCACAGCUUCACUUAAACGCCAAAAUAGAGAGAUAAAAUGGUCGUGGUCAUUUUAUUGUGCAUGGAAUAGCCCUCGCCUGCAUCCUCGUAUCAAUCAGUUAAAUGAGGUGCUCAGACAGGAGCACAGCAUGGCAGUAAUAAUGGAGUAGAUUCUAGAGUUGAUGGCCAUAAGACAAGCUGAGAGCUCACUGUGCUAUGGUCAGCUACAUCAUUAAACACACGCAUGCACUCAGCUCCGAACGCAUCUAAUUUGACAAAAUUGCUAGAAUAAUAAUGAAUGAUGUUUGCUAGACACGUCUUAUCACAUCAUAUCCUUCCUAGUAUACAAUUUGGUGAGGUCGGUGCAGUCAGUACUGGACUGGUGAACUUUUCCCCUUCAUGAAAGCACACAGAAAGUACUUAAAUUGUGAAACUUGUGAUUCAUUAGCCACUAUAGGCCUUAGUCUGAGAAUGGCCAUAUUUAAUUUUUGACAGCAAUGAACAGGAGGCUGAGGGUUAGUACAUCGUGUUCAGUGGAUUGUACUGUUUAACAAUAUACCAACUGUUCGGCUGACAAAACAACUUUCCAAAAGACAGAGACUCCAGUUUUAGUUUUAGUUGUGAACGUAAUCUAGGAGCUUUGAACAGAUUGUAAUCUCCCACAUUUCAUCCUGGGAAAAUUCAAUAUGGCAUCUGCCCUGAUUAAAGUGUACAUGUAAAUAACUAGAAAUGCAGUAAAUUUGGUAAGCUGGUUAGCUGUUUUGAGCUGGUCAGCAGGCUGGUUUUAGUCGGGUUUUGCCACAUUUCCCAAAUCAUGCCAGGCUGGUCUUAGCUGGGAGACCAGCUUGAACGACCAGCUAAAACCAGCCUAGCCUGCUGGGAGACUAGCUCAAACCAGCCACUUCUAGCUUAAACCAGCUAAGACCGGCCAACCAGCCUUUCUUUUCUUCUUCAGCAGGGCUACCACUUCACAAUAACAAGCUGCAUAACUGACUGUUUCUUAAACGUUGGCUGUGACCGCCUUGCACAAUCAAAAUAAAAAUGGAAGUGCCCAUUCUUACUUUAAAAAUAAGGACACACUCAGACAUGUUUGGGUCAACUCUGGAAUGUAGUGUCGCCUUAAAUUGAACAUUUAAACAUGUUGUUGUUUUUUCAAACCGUGCAGUAGUAUGUGACAUUUUCUAUUUGAAAGGAAUGACAUUUAAAAGAAAUGUGUUGCCACUGGCUUUAGCAUUUCAAGAAAUAUGUUCAAGAAACAAAAUAAUAUUUUAACCAUUUAUCAGAAUUUAAAAAGGAACAAAAGGCGAUUUUGUUCUUGUUUUCUCAAACUGUCUAAAGUAGAUGUAUUAAUUAAUCGUCAACUCGUGAAAAUAAUCACGAAAACCACCAGUGACCAUUUCGCUAUUAAAAUGAGUAAAGUGAAAUGGCGGCGUCCAUAAUGCUGGAUGGUGUUUUCACGGUUGAUCCCACUUCAGUCGAGUCUAAUAAGGCUUAAACGCAGGAACGCAGAACUUCGGACACCACAUUUUUUUGGAGUAACUCCUCUAGAAGACGGACCGGAUCCAAAACCUCCGAAUAACACACGGUUCCUAUCUCCGUCUAUAUCCAGCACCCCAGACCAGAUGCUUCACAAUUACCCACAAUUCCCCUGGAAUUGUUCCUGCCUCAUUGAGUCUUCAGCCAAAGUCAGGCAACUGCAACUAGUCAAAACACACACAUACACACACACUACAGGGCACAGCCUGAUGUGACCGCCUCUCCCCACCCCAUCUGUCAGGAUGACGUCAACUCUCUUCCGUCAGACAGGUGGUAUCACCUAAGACCCCCCAGCUCUGCCACUCGACACAAAGUCAUCCAUCACCACAGCAACAGCUCCUGUCAUUGCCUGGGAAGCGAGGGACUGCUAGGGCAGAUGGGAAGAGAGGCAGCCCAACUGGUCUUCCAGCAUCAGGUGGUCUGGGAAUGAUAAAGAGAGACUGAAAGAGAAAGAGGGCAUCUUCCUUUGACACCAAGAAGUUUAAAAUGGGGAAAAAAUAACUUUCUUUUUGACACACAGACAGUAAUGACAGGUGUGUCCGUGACUGGAGCUCCCAGCUGGAAACUCCAGAAAGAAAUGUCCAAAGCCUCCUCAAAAAUAGUCCGAGCUGACCCUUUUUGUGCAAAACCUCUGGCCCACAACAUGGACAACCCGGAGAUGAAGGGUAAGAGUUAGAUGUGCUUCCUAGGAAGGUUUUGACUGUGCGUGACUGGUGUUGGCUGUAAAUGCAUGGAAAUGUUUCAUCACAGGUCAGUGGCAUCUUUUCUGCAAGACAGCAGUACCGUAUGAAUGCAAGUGACCUGAAGGAAAAAUUUCAAAUCUUUCAGAGUUUCCGUUGACAUACUGGAGACAUUUAAAGAGAGAACACUUAUCAAGCUGUAUUCAGGCAUAGAGAAUGCGUCCCACAUCUUAACGACACAAUGAUGAAACAAAAGAGCAUAUUCAGUACAUGUCUGAUUGCACUAAAAUGCCAUAAAGAGAGACAAGGCAUCUUUUGUUCAAUUCUGUCAGGCAUCAAAAUGUCUGGUCCAUUGCUUAGCUAAAUAUAGAAUAAAGGAGGGCAGUUAUAACACUUCUUACUGCAGUGGAUAUUUCUAAAGGAAGGUUUAUUUUAUUGAGUCUUUGUGUUGAAUUAUGUUGCAUUGACACACACAGUCUUUUGAACAUUUCCACAAUUAUCACCCAAAUGACAAAAGUUUGUGAAUAUGUGUAGAGCGAAUGAGAGAGAGAGAAAACUAUACUAUAAUUGCAGAACUUUUGUAUAAUUGCGUACCUUAGUAGUAUAAACAUAUAUGGCUAGGUUCGUAUAUAUUUGGACACUAUACAAUUUUAAACAUUUCAGUUCUGUAUGCCACCAGAAUAUAAUUAUAAAAUAAAUUAAUAAUAAAAUAUUAAUAAUAAGGAAAACAUCAAUAUGAAACUGAAGUGCAGACAUCAAGCUGUGAUUGGAGGGGUUAAACAGAAAUAUAAGAUGUUUGGGAAUUACAACCAUUUUUAUACACAGCCCCCCCAUUUUCUGGGGCUUAAAUGGAAUUGGACAAGUAAAUAAAUAAAAUAUAUAAAAUGUUAAUUUUUAAUAUUUUGUUGAGAAUCCUUUUCAGGCAAUGACUUCCUUAAGCCUUGUUUGUUUGUGGGUCUUUUCUGCCUUUAGUUUUAACUUCAUGGAAAUGGAUGGAAAUCAGGAGAUUGACUUGACAAUUACAGAAUACUCCACUUUUUUUUUUUUUUACCUUUAAAAGCUCCUGGGUUGCUUUUGCAGUAUGUUUUGGGUCAUCAUCCGUUUGUACUAUGAACUGCUGUCCAAUCAGCUUUGCUCCGUUUGACUGAAUCCGGGCAGAGAGUAUAUUCCAUGCAUGCUCACGCCAUCACACUACUCCACCAUUAACAGAUUAUAUUUUAUGCUUUGAAUUGUGAGCUGUAUCAGAGUGUAUACUACAAUUGCACUCCUGUCGGCAACAAUACAUUUGCAUAUUCGAGUUUUGUACUAUUUAAUCUGCUUCAUGAUUCAGGGUUUGUGUAGCUCAGUUCGUAGUGAGUUGUGCUAUAAGAUGAGAUGCAAUCAUGCGAACAUGGGUUUGAACCAAGAGAAUGUGUGGCCUCAUAAAAGGUAUAUGUCCUUAAUUUAUGGUUUUACACAAUUUUUUGUAACUGGUAGGUUUGGGGGUGGGGCCAGGUGUGGUCAUUGGAAUGAAUUACACCUAGUAAAAUCUGUUUUAAUCACUGUGACUUUGGUGUAAAAAGUUCACACACUGCAUUUAAACAAAACAGGCAUUUUGACUAGUAAGGACAGUCAUAUAAGUCAUUUCAUGAUGACAGAUACAACACAACACUUUUACUUUUUACGCCUGCUACAAGGACGCUUAACUUUUAAACAUUAAAAAAAGGUCUUAAUAAGGUACUUCCACAAACAGGCUCGUAAUUGAAAUAUAUUUUGGUCAACAGAUAAAAUAAUAAAAACUGUACCUGUGUACAAAUAUGCAUUGACCUAAAUGUAUAAUUAAGAGUGCAGCUUGUUAUGAAUUUCUAUCAAACUUAUUACCGUUGUUAAUUGAAUUUUCUUUCAAAUUUGGGAUUAAAAAUCACUAAGUACACUCCUCAGAAAAUAGUCGUCUUUUAAUAGGCACAAGAAGUGAUAAUUACAAAUUCUAAAACUUUUUUUUUUUCAGUGUUUGUUUGUUUGUUUUAAGAACUUGAAACCUGCAGCACCAACAUGCUUCCCAUGAGGUAAUAAAAGAAUGUUUUAUUUGAAGCCUUUUUAUGUGUAGAUCAAACCACACCAUUAAAGCACGGCUUUUUUGCCUGUAUGUUUCAUCUCGGGUUUACACAUCAACAAAGCACUAAUUAGCAGAUGACAAUCACAUCAGUCCUGUUGUCACCAGUUUAAAUGACACUGACAAACAUUAGGGACCAGAUUAUAUGCUUUAAACAAACACCACUUCUGUUAUUGUAAUGACUUCAGAAUAUAAUAAUUGCAUGCUCCCAAAAGCUACACCAAAUGGCACUUUGCAAAUCUGCUGGGACAUUUCUAUGGGUAAAUUCCAGGCUCUCUGAUAACCAUGUAAUGAAAUGUCUAAUGUAAGAUUUACUGUAAGUUCUUAUUUCUAACAACAAAAAUAAUAUAAAAAUAGCUAUAUUGUGAUUAUCAAUCUAGUAAUUAUUCUUAAGAAAUGGUGGGGGAAGAUGUAA